Long non-coding RNA from Scophthalmus maximus (turbot), 324 nucleotides. RefSeq lists it as uncharacterized. NCBI's taxonomy places the organism in Eukaryota, Metazoa, Chordata, Actinopteri, Pleuronectiformes, Scophthalmidae. The record is from RefSeq and is a predicted model, not a curated record. The transcript has 4 exons.
AGGAGGCGGCGGAGGAGGAGGCCGGUGCUCAUCGCAGUGUUCGGGGGCGGGACACGAAUCAGCUCCACUCACCACCUGCGUAGGGCUACACGAGAAGGAAUAAGACACCAGAGCCUCCUGGAACUCAGACGAGAUCAGCUAUCUGUGGCAGAGAAGAGAAAAGACAGAGCUGCAUCUUACCUGCUGACCUGGUCGGGAAGGGCUGUCUCCGGGCGGGCAGCGAAUCGCUAACUGAAUUGGACCCUGGAUUUUUGCACUGGCUCCAGCUCCAGGUUGACACAGUUCUGGAUCGUCUCGUCCCCGCCCUUGAAGGCUUUCCUUCCC